This is a long non-coding RNA of Octopus bimaculoides (California two-spot octopus), 530 nucleotides long. Lineage: Eukaryota; Metazoa; Mollusca; Cephalopoda; Octopoda; Octopodidae. The record is from RefSeq and is a predicted model, not a curated record.
UGUACAUAUAAAAAGACGGAAUUCUCGCGGUUGGGCUGUCUUUCAUAUAUCUGUUCAUUUAAGGUCGAUCUGGAACUUACACAACAACAAGAAGAACUAGUAUGUGUAUGAUCAACUCUUUACUCAUUAGUUGGCAUUGCUUCACCUUUGAUCAGGAAGGAAUUUGUCAGAAAAGCAGAAAUACAAAGAUGCGAUCUACAUUGGUAUUGUUUGCUGCCAUAACAAUGGUACUGGUAUGUAAUUUGGCUGAAGGUCUCCCUCACAACCGCAAGAUUGAAUUCAAAAUACCCCGACCGCAAUUUUGUCAAACGGAUGAAGACGUAUACCGUCUGUGUUAUUUGUGUGCACGAGCAAUGGAAGAUAUAGAUGUCUACAACGGCUGCUGUGCUCAAGAAAAAUUAUACUAUUCCUUCUGUCAAGUAUAUCUGGCCUAGCACGGCGACUAAUGUUAGUCAUAGCAAUGUUACUUCAUGUUUUUUUUUGCGAGAUUGUUCGGGGAAAAAAAGAUAAUAAAUUAUAAUUUAACUUAA